Long non-coding RNA from Oncorhynchus tshawytscha (Chinook salmon), 1021 nucleotides. NCBI's taxonomy places the organism in Eukaryota, Metazoa, Chordata, Actinopteri, Salmoniformes, Salmonidae. The record is from Ensembl.
GUUCAAUGCACGCCAAAACCUGCUGCUUUUCAACACAGCGGCCAACACCGCGCUCAUGACGUCCUAACGUCAAGGUGAAGAGAGGCCUAGAGGGGGGUGAGAGGGGCACACAGUUACCACGUCUCAUUGGAGAGGUGUGGAUUGGGGGAAAUGGUGUGGAUUAGUGCCAAAGAUUGGAGGCCUCUCUAUGACCCAAGCAUGGGCUAGCAACAUGCUAAUUUAUGCCCAGGCCUAGCUGAUGAAAACUGCUCCAGUGAGAGGUGAUGAGGUCCUUUGAGAAUCAGACAAGGGGAUUGGAUGAGGCUUAACACUGUCCAAUUGCACAGCUUCCUCUCCUGGUGUGCAUCAGGGAGGUUUCCUGUCUGUUUUCUGUUGAAUGGCCUGCUGUUCAAGCUCUAACACAAGCCAGAGGGGCACUGAGGGGGGACACAAGGCAGGGAUGUUUGUGCGUUGUUACAGGACACAAUUCAAGGGUGCACCAGUUUGGGGGAACAAAGUUCAAGGUGGCACCAGUAUGAAGGGCACAAGUUAAAAGUUCAAAAAAAUGGAUAAUCGCAUUUAUAUCAGAUUGUCUUUUUGUAAGUCUAUACUUUGGGGGUUAACAAGACCUGAUAAAGAGAUGGAUCCUUUUGAGACCAUAGAUAGGGGAUGAACACAGCGGUGGUGUUACAGAAUAAAGAGUUUGAGGAAAUGGUUUGGUGUGGAGCACGUUUGACUACAGCUGUGCAUAGUGAGUGGCAUGACAUGGAUUGGAAAGGAUAACUCUGUAGCAAUAUAUAGCGCAGUGGCUAGGCUACAGCUGCAUGGUUGGAUGAGACGGAGGUAUGUUGUCAGUAGGUACAGUGUUCUUGGAAUGCUCAUUGGUUGUGGAAAUCACACACCAACAAAAUGGCCGUAUACUGUAUGCUGGCAGUGUGGAGGCAAUUUUACAUAAUGUAACCUGGGCAAGGAGUCUUUGAUCAUUUUAAAGUUGUAUAACAUGUAAAAAAUGAAUAAAAUGGUGUCAGAACCGUGGAUCUUA